This 666-nucleotide ribosomal RNA is filed under the name Thinophilus sp. 4 SNK-2009. RNAcentral's name for it is "partial 12S ribosomal RNA". The stretch from base 1 to 443 matches the Rfam family "Microsporidia small subunit ribosomal RNA", at positions 723 to 1311 of the family's 1311-position model. The record is from RNAcentral. Lineage: Eukaryota; Metazoa; Arthropoda; Insecta; Diptera; Dolichopodidae.
UAAGAUGAAAAUGAAAUAGUAUUAGAGUAGUAAUAGUUAAGAUCUUGAAACUCAAAAAAUUUGGCGGUAUUUUAGACCAUUCAGAGGAACCUGUAGUAUAAUCGAUAAUCCACGUUGGACCUUACUUUAUCUUGUAAUUGAUCAGUUUGUAUACCGCCGUUAUUUGAAAAUUUUAUAAGAAAAAUAAUUUUCAUAAAUUUUUAUAAAAAAGUAAAUCAGGUCAAGGUGCAGCUUAUGAUAAAGUAUUUAUGGGUUACAAUAAAUUUAUUUAAACGGACAAUAAAAUGAAAUAUUUAUUUGAAGGUGGAUUUGAAAGUAAAUUCUUAUAGAUAAAAGAAUUGAUUUUGGCUCUAAAGUAUGCACACAUCGCCCGUCACUCUUGUUAAUAAUAUAAGAUAAGUCGUAACAUAGUAGAGGUACCGGAAGGUGCCUCUAGAAAGACAAUUUAAAGCUUUAAGGAAGCAUUUCAUUUACACUGAAAGGAUGUUGUUCAAAUCAAUAUAAAUUGAUAUAGUAUAAUUAUUAUUAAUUAUUAUUAUUUUAUUGAUUAUUAGAAAUAACUAUAAUAUAUGUUUUAGUAUUUUAUAAAGAAUAAAUAAUUUAUAUAAUAGUGAAUUAUGUAACUUGAGUGAAUUUUGAAAUAAUUGAAAAAUAUAUAAUUAAAAA